CCAAAGGCUCUUUUCAGAGCCGCUCAAUCCCCACUCAAAGGUGCUGG
Alligator mississippiensis (American alligator) is the source of this 47-nucleotide non-coding RNA. The record is from Rfam. Lineage: Eukaryota; Metazoa; Chordata; Crocodylia; Alligatoridae.